RNAcentral lists this ribosomal RNA (433 nucleotides) under uncultured bacterium. RNAcentral describes it as "partial 16S ribosomal RNA". It matches the Rfam family "Bacterial small subunit ribosomal RNA", at positions 29 to 507 of the family's 1533-position model. The record is from RNAcentral.
AGCGAACGCUGGCGGCAGGCUUAACACAUGCAAGUCGAGCGGGCCCUUCGGGGUCAGCGGCAGACGGGUGAGUAACGCGUGGGAACGUGCCCUUCGGUUCGGAAUAACUCAGGGAAACUUGAGCUAAUACCGGAUACGCCCUUAUGGGGAAAGGCUUGCUGCCGAAGGAUCGGCCCGCGUCUGAUUAGCUAGUUGGUGAGGUUAUGGCUCACCAAGGCGACGAUCAGUAGCUGGUCUGAGAGGAUGAUCAGCCACACUGGGACUGAGACACGGCCCAGACUCCUACGGGAGGCAGCAGUGGGGAAUAUUGCACAAUGGGGGCAACCCUGAUCCAGCCAUGCCGCGUGAGUGAUGACGGCCUUAGGGUUGUAAAGCUCUUUUCUCCGGGACGAUAAUGACGGUACCGGAGGAAUAAGCCCCGGCUAACUUCGUG